Molecule: long non-coding RNA, 911 nt
Organism: Oreochromis aureus
Lineage: Eukaryota; Metazoa; Chordata; Actinopteri; Cichliformes; Cichlidae
Source: Ensembl
GUGUAACCCACAUAAAAAUCUGAAUCGAAAUCUUAAAUUCUAAUCGGAGCGUGUCCGUGAAGGCAUCGCGAUGCGUCAUGACGCACGCCACGCCGCGAGUCUGCACGUGCCUGUCGUGACCAAUCACAUUCGCGAGGCACGAAUAUAUGCCUUCCGGGUUGUCGCCUCGAACAGGUGCGGGGGAGAGGCGUUAGCGGAUGGAAGCAACAGGUACGUGGGGCGAGCGCUCUUCGCUGUUUACUAUCUUGGCUUGUCUUUGAAUUAAUUGUGGAUUGCGUUCAACAGUGCUUUGAUACCGCCGCGGGUAGAUGCGUGGGGGCUCGUAUGUGACAUCGCACGUAGUGAAUGUGCAGGCUAGUGGUGCCUUGGGGAGACCACAGCGGCACCACUACUUUGGAUGGCGAGCUAGGCCCAACGAGCCAGAACCCCAGCUACAACUUCCUGCGGUCUGGUAGGAGGCUGCUGUGGCCUACACUCUCCCCCCCUGGUUUUCAGUCCUCUGAAUCUCACUUCUGGGAUCUCAGUCUUGGAAUCUCAGUUCUGAUCAUCACACUUCCAAGUUCAAUCUGUUGCAGACUGUCAUGCGCAUUGGAUUUAUAUCAAUCAUGAAAUAGUAAUUUUAUGGACAUUGUCUGCCGGGGGUUGGAGGAGGUUGCUGCACCAUUGUGCAGCUGAUACUUUACAAGCUUGAAUUAUGUUUUAUCUUGUCCUGUCUGCAGAUUUUGUAAAUAUUGGUAUUUGGUAAUUGCACUUUAUUUUCACUGUAAAUAACAACCGUAAUCACAAUAUCUGUUGUGGUUGUAUGUUUAUUAUACUUCACUCACCUCCCAGAGCCGAAUCUGAUAUCUUCUGAAUUAGGUCAACUACUCAUAACUAACUCAAUUUAGUUUAGCUUAUGUACUUGCUACAUA